CAGUAGCCGCGGUAACACGGAGGGUGCAAGCGUUAAUCGGAAUUACUGGGCGUAAAGCGUGCGUAGGCGGUUCGUCAAGUCUGUUGUGAAAGCCCCGGGCUCAACCUGGGAAUGGCAAUGGAUACUGGCGAGCUAGAGUGUGUCAGAGGAUGGUGGAAUUCCCGGUGUAGCGGUGAAAUGCGUAGAGAUCGGGAGGAACAUCAGUGGCGAAGGCAGCCAUCUGGGACAACACCGACGCUGAGGCACGAAAGCGUGGGGAGCAAACAGGAUUAGAUACCCGGGUAGUCCCUGUCUCUUAUAC
RNAcentral lists this ribosomal RNA (301 nucleotides) under uncultured bacterium. RNAcentral describes it as "partial 16S ribosomal RNA". It matches the Rfam family "Bacterial small subunit ribosomal RNA", at positions 509 to 807 of the family's 1533-position model. The record is from RNAcentral.